CCGUGUUGUGUAUCUUGGACGUUUCCUCCCUAAACUUGGGCCGUGCUAAAGCGCGGCCCCUUUUUUUUGGGGUC
Molecule: small RNA, 74 nt
Filed under: Roseospira visakhapatnamensis
Lineage: Bacteria; Pseudomonadati; Pseudomonadota; Alphaproteobacteria; Rhodospirillales; Rhodospirillaceae
Description: Makes More Granules Regulator RNA (mmgR)
Rfam family: Makes More Granules Regulator RNA (mmgR)
About the family: SuhB later renamed mmgR (makes more granules regulator) was a putative non-coding RNA found multiple times in the Agrobacterium tumefaciens genome and related alpha-proteobacteria. Other non-coding RNAs uncovered in the same analysis include: speF, ybhL, metA, and serC.
Source: Rfam by way of RNAcentral